This is an unclassified non-coding RNA of Macaca fascicularis (crab-eating macaque), 117 nucleotides long. It matches the Rfam family "Metazoan signal recognition particle RNA". Rfam says of the family: The signal recognition particle (SRP) is a universally conserved ribonucleoprotein. It is involved in the co-translational targeting of proteins to membranes. NCBI's taxonomy places the organism in Eukaryota, Metazoa, Chordata, Mammalia, Primates, Cercopithecidae. The record is from Ensembl.
GCCAGGUGUGGUGGCUCACACCUGUAAUCCCAGCACUUUGGGAGGCUGAGGUGGGUGGAUCACCUGAGGUCAGGAGUUCGAGACCAGCCUGAUUAACAAGGUGAAACCCCGUCUCUA